UGGCGGUAUUUUAUUCUUUUCAGAGGAACCUGUUCUAUAAAAGAUACCACACUAUAAUUUUACCUGUGGUAAACUUAUAUAUCGUUGUCGUAAGAAUUAACUUUAAAGUUUUUUCUUAAAUCUUAAUGAGUUUUAUGUCAAAUCUAGGUGUAGUGUUUACAGGUUAGAAAUGGGUUACUUUUAUUUAAAUAAUUUUUUUAGCCUUAGAGAUCUAAGAAAAAUUGGAUUUGAAAGUAAUCUUUAAAUUUAUCUAAUUUGAAUUAAGCUCUAAAAU
RNAcentral lists this ribosomal RNA (274 nucleotides) under Isotoma viridis. RNAcentral's name for it is "partial small subunit 12S ribosomal RNA". Lineage: Eukaryota; Metazoa; Arthropoda; Collembola; Entomobryomorpha; Isotomidae. The record is from RNAcentral.